AGCCCUGCAGUAUAAAGAUACGUGGAAUUGCAAACUCCAAGAAGGAGAGUGGCUUCUCCCGGGGCUU
Molecule: transfer RNA, 67 nt
Filed under: Taeniurops meyeni (blotched fantail ray)
Lineage: Eukaryota; Metazoa; Chordata; Chondrichthyes; Myliobatiformes; Dasyatidae
Description: Taeniura meyeni (blotched fantail ray) tRNA-Cys
Source: RNAcentral